GACGAACGCUGGCGGCGUGCUUAACACAUGCAAGUCGAACGCUGAAGCUUGGUGCUUGCACUGGGUGGAUGAGUGGCGAACGGGUGAGUAAUACGUGAGUAACCUGCCCUUGACUCUGGGAUAAGCCUGGGAAACUGGGUCUAAUACUGGAUACGACAUGUCACCGCAUGGUGGUGUGUGGAAAGGGUUUUACUGGUUUUGGAUGGGCUCACGGCCUAUCAGCUUGUUGGGGGGGUAAUGGCCCACCAAGGCGACGACGGGUAGUCGGCCUGAGAGGGUGGCCGGCCACACUGGGACUGAGACACGGCCCAGACUCCUACGGGAGGCAACAGUGGGGAAUAUUGCACAAUGGGCGGAAGCCUGAUGCAGCGACGCCGCGUGAGGGAUGACGGCCUUCGGGUUGUAAACCUCUUUCAGCACGGAAGAAGCGAAAGUGACGGUACGUGCAGAAGAAGCGCCGGCUAACUACGUG
This 472-nucleotide ribosomal RNA is filed under the name uncultured bacterium. RNAcentral describes it as "partial 16S ribosomal RNA". It matches the Rfam family "Bacterial small subunit ribosomal RNA", at positions 28 to 507 of the family's 1533-position model. The record is from RNAcentral.